RNAcentral lists this ribosomal RNA (454 nucleotides) under uncultured bacterium. RNAcentral's name for it is "SSU rRNA". It matches the Rfam family "Bacterial small subunit ribosomal RNA", at positions 26 to 517 of the family's 1533-position model. The record is from RNAcentral.
AGGAUGAACGCUGGCGGCGUGCCUAAUACAUGCAAGUCGAGCGGUAAGGCCCCUUCGGGGGUACACGAGCGGCGGACGGCUGAGUAACACGUAGGAACGUACCCCAAACUGAGGGAUAAGCACCAGAAAUGGUGUCUAAUACCGCAUGUGAUCUUCGGAUUAAAGCUUCGGCGGUUUGGGAACGGCCUGCGCAUGAUUAGCUUGUUGGUGAGGUAAAAGCUCACCAAGGCGACGAUCAUUAGCUGGUCUGAGAGGAUGAUCAGCCAGACUGGGACUGAGAACGGCCCAGACUCCUACGGGAGGCAGCAGUAGGGAAUUUUCCACAAUGGGCGAAAGCCUGAUGGAGCAACGCCGCGUGCAGGACGAAGGCUUUCGGGUCGUAAACUGCUUUUAUAUGUGACGAUUAUGACGGUAGCAUAUGAAUAAGGAUCGGCUAACUCCGUGCCAGCAGCCG